Molecule: long non-coding RNA, 4293 nt
Organism: Daphnia magna
Lineage: Eukaryota; Metazoa; Arthropoda; Branchiopoda; Diplostraca; Daphniidae
Exons: 7
Source: RefSeq, a predicted model, not a curated record
ACAGCACCUACAUGGCUACACCGUUCAAUCAGACUGUGAGUAAUUUGUAUAAACAAAAACUAGUUACAUACUUACCCUCCUAUAAAGUCGCAGUGCGUUGAAAUAAUACUGCCUGCUUGGGUAAAUCAACCAUGUCUAUUCUGGCAAAAGCCAAACAUCAAUUAGUGAUGGUUUUAGUGAAAUAAUAGGAAAAAUAAGAAGAUUACCAAUAUUGUUUUUGUUGUUAACACUAUAAACAACAGCAGACGACAUCUACAAAACGUUAAAUUAAAAUUACUUCAAAAACACUUACGGAAAAAAAUUUGUAUUUUAAAUUUAACCUGAAAAAUCUAGUUUAUAACCUUAUGUCUAGUUAUUUUCUAUCACUAACCACUUUAGAAAUAAUUCCACUAUAAACAAUAAUCCCAUAAGAGGCUGUGUUAAAAAAGGGUGUGGUUUUCCAAAGAUGGCGGAUAGAAACGUUGCCGGAAUACAGCAAUCCUGCUAUCUGCAUUCUGCAAGAAGUCUAUUGUUGACAUUUUUUCGCUUAACCCUACCGGGAACUGCGCGAACACCGAGAGCCCUUGAGUAAUAAACACCCGCUGGUUUUGGGAUAGGCGAUAGUGUACCUUAUUAUAUCGUGCUACAACGUUUCGCAAUAAAAGUAACUAAACUUAAAAAAUAAACUUAAGCCAAAUUUUUCUUAUUUUUUAAAUGUCGGUAGAAGGCUGUUUGAAAGUUUUUUUUUACUCACUAGAUGGCUUAAGCUAAUUUCAAGUGAGAAAUUCAAUCUGGCAAUGUUCUGGUCUUCCAGAAGUUUACCAUUUUAAGGCUUGCCAGUUGCAAGCAUGGAUCGGGAAUUUUGCACCGCAAUCCGUUUUAUCUUAGAUAAAAUUCGUAAUCUGGAAUUUUCCUUCAUUUUCUGCAUGAUGGGCAUAUUCAAUAUCUAGUCUCAUCUGGCCAUCAAAGAUCUGUGAUUUGUUGUGAAUGAGUUGGAUGAAAUAGAUAUGGCAGUUAUGCAAGCAUUACUACUCAUUUCUACUCAUUUCAUUGAAUAAUGAAUGUUGGCUGUGAGAUGCCCAUUGAGCUUUCUCUAUUAUUAUUUGAGAGCUGAAUGGUGCUUAGCCCCAAAUCCCGGAGUGAGAAGAAAGCAGAAAAAGAAGAAGAAGCUGACAGAGGGACAGAAGAGGCGGCGCAACCGUUAUAACUACGAGAAGGAACGAAGGAAACGAGAGGCUGCAGCAGCUGCGGCGUUAACUGCGACCAUCCCUGACGCCCCCGAAAGGUCGGUGGUGUUUACGUCCACCGAUCUUCCACUUCGACCCAUCGCUACUGUCGGCCCGUCCGUCAACCUGCCAACUUUACCUGCCGGUCCAUCCACCGCACCUGAUCCACCUCAGCCUGCCAAGAAAAACAGGAAUCCGAACAGUCAAAAGGUAUCCUGCAGCAACUGCCAUUCAGCUAAUCAUUUCCCUAGUGAGGAGGACAGAGCCCGUAAGUUUAUCCAAAGGAGAAGAGAAAGGGAGCUCGAACAGGUCGCACGGCAAAGGGCAAUAGAGGAAAGAAGGGCAAGAGAGGCAAAAGAAAGAGAAGAGAAAGAGAGAGGGAGAAGAGAAAGCAAAAGAGAAGAGAAAGACCCAAAGGAGAGAAGAGAGAGAGGAAGAAAGGAAAGAGCUGAAAGGAAGAAACAAAACCUGCAUGGGAAGGUGAAAUUUAUGUUGCCAAUAAGGAAAGAAAAGGAGGAGACCGUUGCAGAGAGGGAAGAAAGAAGAGCUAAGGAAAGGUGUGAAAGACUAAAGAUUGCAGAGGCGGCAAAGAAGAAGCAAGAAGAAGAAGAAGAGAUAGAGAGGAUGCGGAUGGAGAUCCAUUUUGUUGAUUAAUAUACUGCCUGUGUUUUUCCAGUUGAUCUCAAGUUCAAAAAAAAGUUCUCAUUGUCUCAAAUGACACGUCUCGUGUCUUAACUCAGUUACAGUGCAACUGCAGCAACUGUGCAACUGUGCAACUGUGCAACUGCAGCAACAGCAGUUCCAAAUUCAACAACAACAGAUGCAACAACAACAAGACGUGCUGACGGCCCUAGCGAAUAGACUUCUUGUUGCGCCAGCCGCCGCCGUGCCCGUUGUCGCCGCCCCAGCCCCGGCCGCGAUCAUCCGGACCACGCUUGACUCCGACAUUAGAUACGCAGGAUCAGAUAAUGAAUCGUUUUAAGAAUGGUUACAGCUGAUUAAUCGUAAAGCCUUAGCAGAAGGUUGGCAAGACGCAGAUAAAAGGAGAGCAGCCAUAAGCUCUUUAUUCGGCAAAGCUCUCACCUGGCACGAGGAGAUUGGCAUAAAUCUACCUCAGUGGGACGAUUGGAUAGAGAGCUUGCGCGGAACCUUCGAAAUCCAGUUAACCGAAAGCCAAUGGCAAAAACUGGUAGAAGAGAAAAACAACUGCCGAAUGAAACCGGUUCCGCAUAUGUUCUUGACAAAGUCAAACUAUGCCGACGAAGGGCCAUUCCUAUUAAUGAUGCGGAACUGACCCCUUAUCUCAUUCACGGAUUAUAUCGUCCAGAAAUACGCUCGGUCAUGAUGGGAAACCCGGACGACCAACCCGUCCGACCCACGCCACGACCCGAGGGAACCGUAACCCGAGCCGGAAGACGAACAUACCCACCUGCUUGGCAACUACAAGAUCUAAAUUAAUUUCUAAAAGUAUUUAUUGCAUUUAAGGGCCUUAAUUUAUGAAAUGUAUGUACAAUUAAAUUGAUCCGUCAAGGCAGGAGCCUUGAAAUUGUCAGGAUGGUCGAGUGUUAUAAUAUGUCCUUUAUAUACUGUAUGUAAUUGUUAUUUCGACCGCUAGAAUGCGCCCAUAUACUCAGCGCCGAAAUUAUUCCGAUUAAGCCACGCCCCCUAUUGUAUCCCUAUAAAUAGCGCCCUCACUCAUUUUUCGCGCCAGUUGCCGCUGGAGAGUCGUUAGAGUAAGGGCUACGGUCGGUAGGAUCUCGGUUUUCUGCGACAAAGUGUUGUAUUUGUGUGCGGCAAUACAAAUUCGUUUAAUUUGUCGGAGUGUUUUGUGUCGUGCUUCACAACAAUUUUUUUUUUUUGUACUCAAGUAAAAUUGAUUAAAUUUGUGACGGUGGAUGGAUAGUUAAGCUUGGGCAAUAUCACUAUUGUUACACAUUAUCCAAAAUUCUUUGGGAAACCAUGUUGAACAGUGUAAUUAAAGGCGAUUUAUGUGCUUUUUUAUAGAUUUCAUUGUACCAAUGGGAUCUACUUUUUUGUCAGUCUGUUUGGGGUGGCAAUUGGCUCAUGGUUCAAUUUUGGGAUUAAACCAAAUUCUUAGGUGGCACUGAAAGAUGUUUUAUUUAUUACAAAGUAAAACGAACACAAUUUUGACAAAGUAUAAACAAACAAAUAAUAAGGCCUUUAUUAUGAAAGUCUUGCUGAAAUUUGCCAUGAGAUGCAUUCUCUGCCUAAGUUAUGAUUUCCCAAGGAUUAAACUAGCAAUGAUUACAGAGUGGGGAAAUGUUAUUUUGGGUGUUAUUUUGUUGGCAAGUUUUAGUUAUUGAAGAAAAUUUAUUGGUUUGUAUAUGAAAAAAGUUAUCUGCGUCAUGCAAAGUAUUGUUUUGGAACUGAACAUGUUUUUUUUUUUCUUCUAGGAUUUAACAUGUUGCAGACGGAACAGCCAUGAAGAUGAACGAAAUCUAUAUGCCCGUUUGAGAGGACUAUUGAGUUGGAUAUAAAAGUAGUUAGAUAAGGUGAUAUUUUAUCAUUUAUAAACAGCUGUGUCAACAAUCAGGACCGUGUGACUUAAACUAACCGUGUAAGACUAAAACUCCUGGUUCAGUUAUUUGGACACUUUACAGAUGGAAGAUUGAUAUGCCUCUAAAAAAAGAAGCUACCCAAGAAUCUAAACAUUAUUGGAUGUAUUAAGUCUGACAAUAGUUGGACAACCUCAAUAGCUGGCAAAUCUACCUUUUUCAGUGUGCUAACAAAAAGUGCAGCACCUGCAGAGAAUUUCCCACUUUAUUGCACCAUUGAUCUGAAUGAAAAUAAGUGUUCUUUUAGUGUUUAUAAACAAAACUUUUGGUUACUGUCACAUUAAAUUUCCGGUCUAGUGUUCAAAUAACGUAGCAGUUCCUGAUGAAAGGUUUGAUUGGUUGCUUCAGCAUUAUAAACCCUCAAAGUAAAGUUUGAAGAAUCAUAUUCAUCCAUUGUAUUCUUAAUUGUUUUUCACUUCAACACAGUCCCAAAUUCACUAUUUACUGGAUCAGAAGCUCAUACAGCUGGCAGCAACAGAAAUUAUGUUCAUAAUAAAAGCAGUCUUUCUUAA